CCCUUAGACGUUCUGGGCCGCACGCGCGCUACACUGACGAAGGCAACGAGCUUUCCUUUACCGAAAGGUACGGGUAAUCUUUUGAAACUUCGUCGUGCUGGGGAUAGAUCCUUGCAAUUUUUGAUCUUAAACGAGGAAUGCCUAGUAAGCGCAAGUCAUCAACUUGAGUUGAUUACGUCCCUGCCCUUUGUACACACCGCCCGUCGCUACUACCGAUUGAAUGGUUUAGUGAGGCCUUCGGAUCCGCGACUCGUUUGUGGAGAAGUUGGACAAACUCAGUCAUUUAGAGGAAGUAAAAGUCGUAACA
RNAcentral lists this ribosomal RNA (307 nucleotides) under uncultured eukaryote. RNAcentral describes it as "partial 18S ribosomal RNA". It matches the Rfam family "Eukaryotic small subunit ribosomal RNA", at positions 1470 to 1796 of the family's 1831-position model. The record is from RNAcentral.